UGCGCUGCUGCCAAGGAGAACAACACUCCAAAACUUUCCUCUAGUCUUUAAGAAAAGUACCUUCAGCUAUGAAACCUUGCAUGUGUUAAGUACAACACACAUCACAUCUACAGAUUUCAGAACUGUAACAAAUGUACACCAGCUUUCAAAUCCGGCUUUCACACACUCAAAAAUGAGAAUGCAUACCAAGUCUUCAGUAGGAACUUCUUGUGGAAGCAUGCUUUUCUCCUCAGAUUAGAUACUCAAAGAGGCAAACGCACCAUAACCUGCAACUGAGUUUAAGCAAAGAUUGAACAGGACAUUAACAAAUACUUCCAAUUUCGGAUUCUUGAUCUGUGCUGACUAUAAUGCCCUUUGUUUGAAUUACAGUAAUUUAUGCAGUCUAAAAUAGAUCAGUAUUCCUAAUGAAUGAUUUCUCCAGAUGGAUUCAAAGGCUUUCAUCCUCUUCAUUAACAACCAAAGCACUGGCAUACUGUAGUGGAAGCAAUCAAUAGAACCUCAGGCUAAUAUAAAUCGUUGGAAGAAAGGAAAGCCCAAACAAUUACGUAGUAACUUCUUCCAAAGCACUUCACUCCAGAACUGUAAUGCAAUAACUGGCUCAUUUUCUGUAUCCAUAAUUUGUCCCAACUUAAGCAUCAGCUCGUUGUUGGCUACUUGUCACAUAUACUUAAGAGGAAAAGAGAAAACUGACUAUUCUUGGUGGGUGUUAUGUUUUCUUUUUGGAGGAGGGCAGGCUGAAGAGAAGGGAGGGGGCAGCAGCAAGUCUACAAUGUUAAAGCCAGUUUAGACUUCAGUUGAUUAAAGCCUUCAUUACCCAGGUAAGUCUACUAUUUCUCAUCACUGCAAGACUAGAACCCCACUCAAGAUGCUGAACAAAGUAUAUGUAGGUUUAUAGGGAAGAAGAUCUGAGUUUAAUGAAUUAGCUUGUAGUGAGACUAUGACAGUGCUGCUUAAGGUUUUUUCUACCAUUUUAAUCACACACACAAAAAAAAGUUCCUUUGAAUUCUUGGGCUCUUUAACAUGUUUGGUUAACGUUAGAAUUACAGCACCGCAUAUAACUCACACUAAUUAUUUAUAUAAUGAAAACAGGACAGAGGAAGGUUAGCUGCAGUCUGCCAAGUGCUAAUUGCAAUCUAUCCAGAUUCUUCCACCCAGCACCUGCCAGAGGCAGGAUAUGGGCUGCGCUGUUUUGACAGUUCCCUUUUGCUAUCUUUCCUUGACUCCCCACCUACUCCCACAACAUUUUCCAUUAGAUGAAGUCACAGGAAAGAAAGACUGGAGAUGUGCCAGCUGCUAACAGUCCUACCAGAACAACUGAUACUGUCUGGAAGCCAUUCCCAGCACACAUCAGAGCAACCCUGGCAACAGAAUGCUGCGAUGCAGUAAUUCCUUCAGAGAGAACAAAAUUUAAAGAGAACAGCAGCACACCUAACCUUUACUAGUAGUAGGGAAAAAGUGAAAGCCUAAUCCUAAUCAAAUGACCUCGGCAGAACCAAGCUGCUUUGUUCUACACAAGGCAUUUACUCUGCUACAAGCACGCUUGAUAUAAACCACUAUGCACAGAAAACCUCUUGAUAUGGUAUUUUCUGUGCCUCAGCAGUAGGAUGCAAACUAAGAGUCAGCAACAUACAGCUUCA
Molecule: long non-coding RNA, 1637 nt
Filed under: Gallus gallus (chicken)
Lineage: Eukaryota; Metazoa; Chordata; Aves; Galliformes; Phasianidae
Description: long non-coding RNA NONGGAT003936
Source: RNAcentral